RNAcentral lists this ribosomal RNA (217 nucleotides) under Tolypocladium ophioglossoides. RNAcentral's name for it is "partial 18S rRNA". It matches the Rfam family "Eukaryotic small subunit ribosomal RNA", at positions 1617 to 1831 of the family's 1831-position model. Lineage: Eukaryota; Fungi; Ascomycota; Sordariomycetes; Hypocreales; Ophiocordycipitaceae. The record is from RNAcentral.
GUAAGCGCAAGUCAUCAGCUUGCGUUGAUUACGUCCCUGCCCUUUGUACACACCGCCCGUCGCUACUACCGAUUGAAUGGCUCAGUGAGGCGUCCGGACUGGCCCAGAGAGGUGGGAAACUACCACUCAGGGCCGGAAAGCUCUCCAAACUCGGUCAUUUAGAGGAAGUAAAAGUCGUAACAAGGUCUCCGUUGGUGAACCAGCGGAGGGAUCAUUA